Oryza sativa Indica Group (long-grained rice) is the source of this 204-nucleotide microRNA precursor. It matches the Rfam family "MIR812 microRNA precursor family". Lineage: Eukaryota; Viridiplantae; Streptophyta; Magnoliopsida; Poales; Poaceae. The record is from Rfam.
AAUAAGUGUAGUUUUACACUAUUCACAUUUAACGUUUGACUGUUCAUCUUAUUUAAAAAAAAUUUACGAUUAGUAUUUUUAUUGCUAUUAGAUGAUAAAACAUGGAUAGUACUUUAUGUUUGACUAAAUAUUUUUAAUAUUUUUAUUUUUUUUUAAAUAAGACGGACGGUCAAACGUUGAGCACGAAUAACAACUAUAUUUAUU